GGUGGCCGUCGCCUAGAGGCCCAAGGCUCCAGGUCGUGACCCUGGCAUCACCGGUUCAACUCCGGUCGGUCACCCCCA
RNAcentral lists this transfer RNA (78 nucleotides) under Roseateles saccharophilus. Its description in RNAcentral is "tRNA-His". It matches the Rfam family "tRNA". Rfam says of the family: Transfer RNA (tRNA) molecules are approximately 80 nucleotides in length. The record is from RNAcentral. Lineage: Bacteria; Pseudomonadati; Pseudomonadota; Betaproteobacteria; Burkholderiales; Sphaerotilaceae.